Molecule: long non-coding RNA, 4041 nt
Filed under: Olea europaea subsp. europaea
Lineage: Eukaryota; Viridiplantae; Streptophyta; Magnoliopsida; Lamiales; Oleaceae
Source: RNAcentral
CUAUCCAUACACACAACUGCCUAAUUGCCUCCCUCUUUUCCUCUUGAAGUAUUAGCAUGGCUUCUUCUUUCUCCUCCAUCAUUUUCUCCACUUCUCUCACUUUAUUUUCUGCCUUCCAAAGCCUCUCUCUGAAUACUAGUAUUUCACCUUCCUUAUCAUCUAACUGCACGAUCAAACAAUCUAAUUCGUCCCUUACGUGUACUAAUGUAUUGUUUUUCCUCAUUGCAAAAUCCUUAGCGAAUUUCAGCUCGCAAGAAGCUUUUGAAAUUCGGUUCAAGAAAUUUGCAUUGCACUCUUCCAGCUUUAAUGUCACUGUAUCUAAGGAAUUAAACACGUCCUUUGCUGCGUGUAAUAUAUCUCGGUUUUCUUGUUCGUACAUUUCCCUUUUCUUCCUAUACCAAUCUUUGUUCUCCAUAUGCAAUUGUUCUGCGACCCUAAUUCUACGGCUCAAGAUUCUGAGAUUGUCUUCAAACUGUUUUCUCAGCUCUUCUACCAUUUCUUCAACCUUCCUUUCGGCUAUCAAGAAGUUCGACUUGGAAUCUGCCAACCUUGAUUGAACUUGUUUGUUUUCGUCUUUUAACUUGCUCACCAUAUCCUCCAGUUCUAUCUGAAUCCUCUGCUGAUCACAAAUUUUGUUGUUUAACUCAAUUAUCCUUUUUUCUUUCUCAGAUUUCUCUUUUUCAAGCUCCAUCUGUAAUCUGCUCUUCUCAUUUUGCAAGGUUUUCGACUCCAGCUGCGAUCUGUCCUUUUCAGUUUGUUGGUUAUCCUUAAGUUUCCUCAUUUGCGUAGCCAGUUCAUUUUCUCUUUCUGAAAGUAUUUUCUGCAAUUCGAAUUUUUUUGCAUGCAGAUCUUCAUUUUCUGCCUGUGAUUGAUAAGCUUCAUGAUUUAUGCUCAUUAUCUGAUCUUCCAAGUCACUCUUCUGACUACUUAAAGAACGAACCUCAAGUUCUAAAUCGUUCAAAUUUUCGAUCUUAAUUAGGCAUUCUGAUGUUUCUUUUGAUCUCAUUUCAAGUUCUAACUCCAAUCUAGCUUUCUGACUUCUCAAGCACUCCAGUUCCUGCUGUAAAAGAUUAACUCUUUCCGCUAGGUCUUCGAAUGACAACUGUUCUUCCGGUUUGUCUGUCUGAGCGUAUGAAGUUUUUACUUCAAGCUGCAGAUCGUUCACCUGAGCCUCGAGGUUUUCAAUUCUAGACAAAUAGAACUUCUUAUUUUCCUCGAAUUUUUUUCCCACAUCAGAAAAUUGACUUUCUUUCUCUUUGAAUGUAGCUUCGAGCUCCAAAACACGAGCCUCCAAUCUAGAAUUUUGUACCUUCAAUUCCUCAGCUUCAUUCGACUUGCACUUAAUUUGCUCCUCUAGUUUUCUUUUCUGCGUUGACAGCGUUUCAGUCUGAAGCUUCCAUUUUUCAACCUGGCCCUCUAACUCUUUCACGAGCGACAACAGUUCCUCUCUUUCAACCAAUUUUCUCUUUAACAAGACAGAUGAAUCCAAUAAUACUUUCUUUGUACUUUCGGACUCAUCAUUUUGAAUCCCGAGGUCCAUAAGAAUUUCCCUGGAUUGCAGAAAAUUGCUGAAAGAUGACUCUGAACCCAAAAUUAUGGUUUCCUUCACUUCACUUGUAGAAGUUAACUUGUCCUUGAGAAUAGUAUCUUCGAAAUCUGAAGUUUCAAGUUCGUGACGAUCACCAUCUGGCACUUCUGGAUUCUCACUACCGUCUUUAUCAUUCAACUCAUCUGGAGAAUAGUACAACUCUGAAUCUGUGGUGGAAGCAGAACUUUCAUAAUCAUCUCCACUAACCUUUUUCUUCACCUCUCCUCUUAAAUCUUCAUAUAGAGAGUAUAAGGAUUCAUAAUGCUUCUGGAAAUCUUCAACGAGGUGAACAAGUUCAGAUUUUUUCUUCGAAAUCCCAUCUUUAUUUCCUUGAUUUAUAUUUUUCGCUAGCUUCAAAAUCCUUUUCACUUUACUCUCAAUUUCUGCAAUAAAAAUGGAACUUUGCAUUUUAGAUAUGAACAUCAAACAGCAUACUUUAUUACUUUUAGAAGCCAAAACGAUGGAGGUGGCACUGGAAAUGCGCCAAAUGGUUCAAAGCUGGGCAAUUUUUGGUUUAAGAACUGAUUUCAAGACUUCAACUAAAGUUCAUAAAUGUACGCUUUUGAACAUAAAGUAGAAUAUCUCAAAGUCAACAUACUCUUACAAUAACAAAAAUCAGUAUUGAGUCUAUACUUGUGAACUUCCGGUGGUGCCGUCGUCGGAGUACGGUGGUGGAGAAGAUGAGAGAGAGAGAGAGAGAGAGAAAUAAUGGGCAGGUUCUAUAGUUUCAUUCUUUCGUGCCAUUAAGAAGUUGAACAGGUCUCUCUCUCUUUUUUUUUUUUUUUUUGGGAAAACAAGUUAAUUACUUUUUUGCUUUAAAACAAAAUUUUGGCAUCUAGAUGUUGAUUGUGCAGUCAUGUAGACUGGGAUUCAAUCUCAGUGGGGGACCAAUAGCAAUAUUUGCAGUAAAAAGUAAAAAAUGCGUUGUUAUGUCAGUAUCCCACAUUCUCUAAUAAAAUUGACGACUGAGUUGGUUGUUUUGGGGAUGACUGUUUACCUAUUUUUAUCCAUUCCAGUUGCUCUUCUUUUAGAGGAUCGAUAUGGUUCCCAAAGAUCUUCGUGGAUUCCUUCCACAGAUGCGUUUCCAUUUCUGCUCGAAAAUGUAAGCAAUCCUUCUGAACCAAAGCAUAAAAAAGGAAUGAAUCCAAGAAGUUAAUGAUGUGAACAUAAACUUAUACGUUCAAACACAAGAUGAAAAUCCUCUUUAGUUCUUCCUAUAAACAAAAAAUGCCUCUAUCAAAUUUAAAGAUGCAAUACAAUAAAAAAAUAUUUGGUAGUUACCAAUUGCUCGAUCACAAUACUUAAACAUAUAAUUGAGAAAACAAACCCAUAUUUUCAGAUGUAUAAUCUCGUUCCACACAAAUCGACUACCCAUUCCAGAAUCCUAUAUAAUGCAUACUGAGAUUUCUCUGUGAAAUCAUUCAAUAAAUUCAAUUAUCAAUACCAUGACAUGAGCUCGCGUAAAUCAGAAUUGGGUUUGUAAAUUAAACGUAAAUAUAAUAGUAUUAAUACAGACAAAAUUUUGGGUUCUGCAUUGUGAUUACCGUGACUCAACAAAAUGUUUAUUUAUCCAAAAAAAAAAUAAAUAAAUAAAUAAAGAAGAAGAGGAUUUUCUAUCCAUUUUCGUUGCCUUUUGGUUGCAUGUAGAAAGAGAAGAGAGGAGAGUAGAAUGAAUAACAAAAGAUUACCCGAGAACUUCAACUUUAGAGAUCUGAAUGAACGACAAAUCCCAUUAUGCAAACAUUUUUGAAAUUUCAAAUUACUCCGACCUUUUUUCUAUUUUCAUUAGACCUCGUGUGGCAGUUAUUACUGUAUGCACCUCCGGACGUUCGUUUGAAACAGUAAAAAAAUAAGCCAUCAUUAUCUUCUUUUCUCUCUCUCUCUCUCUCUCUCUCUCUAAGAAUUUGUCACCGCAAUUUUCUAUUCACUAUGCUUGCAUAUUUUUUCUAAUUGCAUCAAAGGUUAUCGCACUUGUAUCCUAGAUUAUUUUGUUGCAUUACUAUUAUCAAAUUUUCAUCAAUUAGUACCUUUCGUUACUGAUGAUGGUUUUGUUGGUUGUGUGCCCAUAUAUCAUAUUUUGCUGUGAUAAAAUAAUUAUUUAUAAUAAAUAAAUUGUAAUUUUAUUUAUUUAUUAUAUUAUUUAUUAUUAAGCAUGCAAAUUAAAGUGCCUAUGAUCACUUGAGAUAAUAUAAGUUGGGUACUUGCGUUGAUAAGUAAAGUGUGAUACAACUUAUAUUUUGAUCAUAAAUAAUUUAUUCAUAAUCUAUGUAUAAGGGUUGACACCUUGUAUUGAAAGAUUGUAGUGUUGAUCAAUUUACUAUUCGAGUUUGUGAUUUGUCCUUAUCACAGAAAUAGUUAAAAAUGACACUAGUAUACUUGAAGUGUAUUGAAUGGAUUGCGUGUCGAAUUUAAUUCUAUAGCAUGAUUUAAUUCUAUAGCAUGACCAUGCGGAG